AGCGAACGCUGGCGGCAGGCCUAACACAUGCCAGUCGAACGAACCUUUCGGGGUUAGUGGCGGACGGGUGAGUAACACGUGGGAACGUGCCUUUAGGUUCGGAAUAACUCAGGGAAACUUGUGCUAAUACCGAAUGUGCCCUUCGGGGGAAAGAUUAAUCGCCUUUAGAGCGGCCCGCGUCUGAUUAGCUAGUUGGUUGAGGUAAUGGCUCACCAAGGCGACGAUCAGUAGCUGGUCUGAGAGGAUGAUCAGCCACAUUGGGACUGAGACACGGCCCAAACUCCUACGGGAGGCAGCAGUGGGGAAUCUUGCGCAAUGGGCGAAAGCCUGACGCAGCCAUGCCGCGUGAAUGAUGAAGGGCUUAGGAUUGUAAAAUUCUUUCACCGGGGACGAUAAUGACGGUACCCGGAGAAGAAGCCCCGGCUAACUUCGU
Molecule: ribosomal RNA, 433 nt
Filed under: uncultured bacterium
Lineage: Bacteria
Description: partial 16S ribosomal RNA
Rfam family: Bacterial small subunit ribosomal RNA
Source: RNAcentral